GCCAGGUGCUGUGGUGCGUGCCUGUAAUCCCAGCUACUAGGGAGGCUGAGGCAGGAGAAUCACUUGAACCCAGGAGAUGGAGGUUGCAGUGGGCUGAGAUCGUGCCACUGCACUCCAACCUGGGCAACAGAGUGAGACCCUGUCUCAA
This 148-nucleotide non-coding RNA is filed under the name Homo sapiens (human). The record is from Rfam by way of RNAcentral. Lineage: Eukaryota; Metazoa; Chordata; Mammalia; Primates; Hominidae.